AGUUUUCUUUCAAAAAUUAAUCAUUAUGCACCUGUCUCUUGGAUUUGGGAAAGAUUAUUUCUGAAAUGAGACAAGGAAAUAAAAUGCCCCCCCCCCCCGCCCACCUUGGGUGUCUUAAGGUCCCAGCUCUCUGUUUCGUUCAAGCAAAGGAUAUGUCUUCUUUAUCUCACCAUGAGAACAACCAGCCCUGUUUUCAAGACCCGGAACACAGGGCCGAUAAUGCUUUGUUCCUUCCCAUUUACAAACAGGUGUCUAAAGGAAAAUGUGGACCAAGAAUUUCUAUUCAUCAGAAUGAUGUAGAGAUUUUACUUUUCAUUCUCCCGGUUAAAAACCUGUGAAUUCUAAGCAGUCUAUCCAGAAGUAAUGAAAAUUAACCUUCAUUAGGAUGAGCUGCUUACGUAGGAAACACUGGAUUUGAAGCCAGUCCUACAAGAACCCACUUGGGUUUUCUUCCUGUCUCUGCACGUUGCGUUCUGGGAAACCAGAGAACGGAUGCGGUGCCGUACAGAUCGCACAGAACGAGAACCUGAAGGCAGUGAAGGUAGACAUAAGGUGUGAACACAACCCCCCCACCCCCAAGCUAGCAGGACCAUAGGAGCUGGAUUUGCAAGCUAGUUCCUUUCCAGAACUCUUGAGGCCAGGAACACCGAAGGGGUUGUGUUCUCCUUCUCAGUGCCAUCUUUCCUUGACGUGGGGCAAAUUCUCAGAUUUGCAAUUGAACAGAUUUGGUUUUCAAUCUUCAGAUUUAGAACUGUAUUAAGUGUGAUUUACAAGUAACGUGACUCAGAAAUACUGCCACGAUAUAGCCACUUAACUGAAAAUCUGUGGUGUUCAGACACAGAUGGUUCCUUUGGAUCUGAGACUUGAUAUCAUAUUCAAGCCAGAUUACCUGUUCUUGUAUCUUUUUUCAGUGAAUCCGAGACCCUGCUGUACUGUCUAGCUGUGUGGGUGAGAUUGGGUGGGCUCUUGGGUGCGUAAAGGAGCAGGACGUACGGGGUGCUCACACUGGAAGGUAUGAAAUGAUUCUGCGUCUUUACCUGCACGAUCCUCAUUUCUCCUUUGUCAAAAUAAAUUUUCAGCCCAUUGACUUAAGUUUAUUUUAUUUCUUUUGUUGUUAGCAUCUGAAAUACACCAUUGCUUUGAGUUUUUUUAGCAAACUGUUUUCUACUUACUCACAUCCGUGUUAGCUCAGCUCUUGCGGAUGGUUCCUCGAGCUUUGCGGUGUUGUGACAAAUACGUGAGUAAUUAAUCUAGUUCUGAGUUUAUGCAUGUGUAAUUAAGAGGAGCACCUGAUGCCGGAUGUAUUUUGGGAGGCAGGCAAAUUUAGACGUCCGUAUGGAACAGCUCAGUGCUGCCGGCCUUUUCUCAGCCCAUAAUCUGCAAGGCACAGUGUGAGAUAUACAGCAGAGAGCACAAAGAUAAGUAAGUCCGUUGCUUAAUCAGGUUCCAGUGCGGUCAGGGGAUUGUGUGUGUGUGUGUGUGUG
This is a long non-coding RNA of Mustela erminea (ermine), 1484 nucleotides long. RefSeq lists it as uncharacterized. The transcript has 2 exons. NCBI's taxonomy places the organism in Eukaryota, Metazoa, Chordata, Mammalia, Carnivora, Mustelidae. The record is from RefSeq and is a predicted model, not a curated record.